ACGUAGGUGGCAAGCGUUGUCCGGAUUUAUUGGGUUUAAAGGGUGCGUAGGCGGUCCUAUAAGUCAGUGCUGAAAUAUCCCGGCUUAACCGGGAGGGUGGCAUUGAUACUGCAGGACUUGAGUAAAGUUGAGGUUGGCGGAAUUGACGGUGUAGCGGUGAAAUGCUUAGAUAUCGUCAAGAACACCUAUUGCGAAGGCAGCUAACUAAGCUUUAACUGACGCUGAGGCACGAAAGUGUGGGGAUCAAACAGGA
This 253-nucleotide ribosomal RNA is filed under the name uncultured prokaryote. RNAcentral's name for it is "partial 16S ribosomal RNA". It matches the Rfam family "Bacterial small subunit ribosomal RNA", at positions 525 to 777 of the family's 1533-position model. The record is from RNAcentral.